Molecule: long non-coding RNA, 276 nt
Organism: Oryzias latipes (Japanese medaka)
Lineage: Eukaryota; Metazoa; Chordata; Actinopteri; Beloniformes; Adrianichthyidae
Source: RefSeq, a predicted model, not a curated record
AAGACCUCUGGCCAUCUGCUGCCUCUGCCUGUCCUGAAGCGCUCUGCUGUCGGACGACUUUGGUGACACCACGAACACCAUGGAACGAUGCAGAGAGUGGACAUAAACAAGAACAGAUUUACUGCUAAAAACCCUCAUCUCUCUAAUAAAAAGUUUAAUCAACUCUUCAGAAAAGCAUGCACAUGUAAAAGCAGACUGGUGCUUGAACUGCUGCCGCUGCGGAAACAUUUUAACCCAUUAAAAUGUUCAAAAAUUUCUAAAAAAAAAAAAAAAAAG